CCUACGGGAGGCAGCAGUGGGGGAUAUCGCACAAUGGGGGGAACCCUGAUGCAGCGACGCCGCGUGGGUGAAGAAGCGCCUCGGCGCGUAAAGCCCUGUCAGCAGGGAAGAAAAUGACGGUACCUGAAGAAGAAGCCCCGGCUAACUACGUGCCAGUAGCCGCGGUAAUACGUAGGGGGCAAGCGUUAUCCGGAUUUACUGGGUGGAAAGGGGGCGCAGACGGCGAUGCAAGCCAGGAGUGAAAGCCCGGGGCCCAACCCCGGGACUGCUCUUGGAACUGCGUGGCUGGAGUGCAGGAGGGGCAGGCGGAAUUCCUGGUGUAGCGGUGAAAUGCGUAGAUAUCAGGAGGAACACCGGUGGCGAAGGCGGCCUGCUGGACUGCAACUGACGUUGAGGCCCGAAAGCGUGGGGAGCAAACAGGAUUAGAUACCCCAGUAGUC
This 440-nucleotide ribosomal RNA is filed under the name uncultured bacterium. RNAcentral describes it as "partial 16S ribosomal RNA". It matches the Rfam family "Bacterial small subunit ribosomal RNA", at positions 338 to 795 of the family's 1533-position model. The record is from RNAcentral.